AACACGUGAAAUUCCGUCGGAAUCUGGGAGGACCAUCUCCCAAGGCUAAAUACUCCCUAGUGACCGAUAGUGAACCAGUACCGUGAGGGAAAGGUGAAAAGCACCCCGGAAGGGGAGUGAAACAGUUCCUGAAACCGUGUGCCUACAAGUAGUUAGAGCCCGUUAAUGGGUGAUAGCGUGCCUUUUGUAGAAUGAACCGGCGAGUUACGAUUUGUUGCAAGGUUAAGCGGAAAAAGCGGAGCCGUAGCGAAAGCGAGUCUGAAUAGGGCGCAUAAGUAACAGGUCGUAGACCCGAAACCAGGUGAUCUACCCAUGUCCAGGAUGAAGGUAAGGUAAUACUUACUGGAGGUCCGAACCCACGCACGUUGAAAAGUGCGGGGAUGAGGUGUGGGUAGCGGAGAAAUUCCAAUCGAACUUGGAGAUAGCUGGUUCUCUCCGAAAUAGCUUUAGGGCUAGCCUCGAGGUAAAGAGUCAUGGAGGUAGAGCACUGUUUGGACUAGGGGCCCUUCUCGGGUUACCGAAUUCAGAUAAACUCCGAAUGCCAUGUACUUAUACUCGGGAGUCAGACUGCGAGUGAUAAGAUCCGUAGUCGAAAGGGAAACAGCCCAGACCACCAGUUAAGGUCCCCAAAUAUAUGUUAAGUGGAAAAGGAUGUGGGGUUGCUUAGACAACCAGGAUGUUGGCUUAGAAGCAGCCACCAUUGAAAGAGUGCGUAAUAGCUCACUGGUCGAGUGACCCCGCGCCGAAAAUGUACCGGGGCUAAACAUAUUACCGAAACUGUGGAUGAACCUCUUUAGAGGUUCGUGGUAGGAGAGCGUUCUAAGGGCGGUGAAGUCAGACCGGAAGGACUGGUGGAGCGCUUAGAAGUGAGAAUGCCGGUAUGAGUAGCGAAAGAAGGGUGAGAAUCCCUUCCACCGAAUAUCUAAGGUUUCCUGAGGAAGGCUCGUCCGCUCAGGGUUAGUCGGGACCUAAGCCGAGGCCGAUAGGCGUAGGCGAUGGACAACAGGUAGAGAUUCCUGUACCAGUGCUAAUUGUUUAACCGAUGGGGUGACACAGAAGGAUAGGGAAUCGCACGAAUGGAAAUGUGCGUCCAAGCAGUGAGUGUGAGAAGUAGGCAAAUCCGCUUCUCGCGAAGCAUGAGCUGUGAUGGGGAAGGAAAUUAAGUACGGAAGUUCCUGAUUUCACGCUGUCAAGAAAAGCCUCUAGGAAGAGUAGUACUGCCCGUACCGCAAACCGACACAGGUAGAUGAGGAGAGAAUCCUAAGGUGAGCGAGAGAACUCUCGUUAAGGAACUCGGCAAAAUGACCCCGUAACUUCGGGAGAAGGGGUGCUCUAUUAGGGUGCAAGCCCGAGAGAGCCGCAGUGAAUAGGCCCAGGCGACUGUUUAGCAAAAACACAGGUCUCUGCAAAACCGUAAGGUGACGUAUAGGGGCUGACGCCUGCCCGGUGCUGGAAGGUUAAGAGGAGUGCUUAGCUUCGGCGAAGGUACGAAUUGAAGCCCCAGUAAACGGCGGCCGUAACUAUAACGGUCCUAAGGUAGCGAAAUUCCUUGUCGGGUAAGUUCCGACCCGCACGAAAGGCGCAACGAUCUGGGCACUGUCUCAACGAGAGACUCGGUGAAAUUAUAGUACCUGUGAAGAUGCAGGUUACCCGCGACAGGACGGAAAGACCCCGUGGAGCUUUACUGCAACCUGAUAUGGAAUGUUUGUACCGCUUGUACAGGAUAGGUAGGAGCCGAAGAGACGUGUGCGCUAGCAUACGAGGAGGCAAUGGUGGGAUACUACCCUGGCUGUAUGACCAUUCUAACCCGCCACGCUUAGCGCGUGGGGAGACAGUGUCAGGUGGGCAGUUUGACUGGGGCGGUCGCCUCCUAAAGAGUAACGGAGGCGCCCAAAGGUUCCCUCAGAAUGGAUGGAAAUCAUUCGCAGAGUGUAAAGGCACAAGGGAGCUUGACUGCGAGACUGACAAGUCGAGCAGGGACGAAAGUCGGGCUUAGUGAUCCGGUGGUUCCGCAUGGAAGGGCCAUCGCUCAACGGAUAAAAGCUACCCCGGGGAUAACAGGCUUAUCUCCCCCAAGAGUCCACAUCGACGGGGAGGUUUGGCACCUCGAUGUCGGCUCGUCGCAUCCUGGGGCUGUAGUCGGUCCCAAGGGUUGGGCUGUUCGCCCAUUAAAGCGGCACGCGAGCUGGGUUCAGAACGUCGUGAGACAGUUCGGUCCCUAUCCGUCGCGGGCGCAGGAAAUUUGAGAGGAGCUGUCCUUAGUACGAGAGGACCGGGAUGGACACACCGCUGGUGUACCAGUUGUUCCGCCAGGAGCAUCGCUGGGUAGCUAUGUGUGGCAGGGAUAAACGCUGAAAGCAUCUAAGCGUGAAGCCCCCCUCAAGAUGAGAUUUCCCAUUUCUUCGGAAAGUAAGAUCCCUGAAAGAUGAUCAGGUAGAUAGGUUUGGAGUGGAAGUGUAGCGAUACAUGGAGCGGACAAAUACUAAUCGAUCGAGGACUUAACCAA
RNAcentral lists this ribosomal RNA (2506 nucleotides) under Listeria monocytogenes. Its description in RNAcentral is "partial 23S ribosomal RNA". It matches the Rfam family "Bacterial large subunit ribosomal RNA", at positions 421 to 2925 of the family's 2925-position model. The record is from RNAcentral. Lineage: Bacteria; Bacillati; Bacillota; Bacilli; Caryophanales; Listeriaceae.